RNAcentral lists this microRNA (23 nucleotides) under Ornithorhynchus anatinus (platypus). RNAcentral describes it as "oan-miR-7430-3p". The record is from miRBase by way of RNAcentral. Lineage: Eukaryota; Metazoa; Chordata; Mammalia; Monotremata; Ornithorhynchidae.
CAAGGGAGGGGAGUUGCACCUUU